This 254-nucleotide ribosomal RNA is filed under the name uncultured bacterium. Its description in RNAcentral is "partial 16S ribosomal RNA". It matches the Rfam family "Bacterial small subunit ribosomal RNA", at positions 524 to 776 of the family's 1533-position model. The record is from RNAcentral.
CACGUAGGGGGCAAGCGUUGUCCGGAUUUAUUGGGCGUAAAGAGCUCGUAGGCGGCUUAGUAAGUCGGGUGUGAAACCUCCAGGCUCAACCCGGAGACGCCACCCGAUACUGCUGUGGCUAGAGUCCGGUAGGGGAGCGUGGAAUUCCUGGUGUAGCGGUGAAAUGCGCAGAUAUCAGGAGGAACACCAGCGGCGAAGGCGGCGCUCUGGGCCGGUACUGACGCUGAGGAGCGAAAGCGUGGGGAGCAAACAGG